Molecule: transfer RNA, 73 nt
Filed under: Streptomyces clavuligerus
Lineage: Bacteria; Bacillati; Actinomycetota; Actinomycetes; Kitasatosporales; Streptomycetaceae
Also listed under: 5 other names
Description: tRNA-Gly
Source: RNAcentral
GCGUUGGUGGUCCAAGGAAAGACACCCCACUUCCCGUGGGGGGAUGCAGGUGCAAGGCCUGCCCAGCGCUCCA